Molecule: long non-coding RNA, 667 nt
Filed under: Apteryx rowi (Okarito brown kiwi)
Lineage: Eukaryota; Metazoa; Chordata; Aves; Apterygiformes; Apterygidae
Description: lncRNA (ENSARWG00000008348.1)
Source: RNAcentral
UCCCUCCCCCCUGCCUGUUCAAGAAAUGGCAGGAAACAGUAAACACUAAUCCAGAAUCUUUUAUAUAUUUCUAGUUAAACUAGUAUUGACUUUCAGGUAUUGUCUGUAUGUUAGGUGGGUGUGGGGAAAGUCUUGUAACUUUUAUCGAAAUUGUAUUAAACUUCUGUUUCCUAAAUUCAGUAUUUUCUUAAAGAAUUGCUUGGUUUUUCCAAUCAGUAUGUAAGCUUUUGCCAAAUGUUAAGCGGGCUGCUGGCAGUGAGGAGGAAAGCAGCAGUUCAGAGGAGCCCUCCACUAAUGAACAGACCACCCAUGUCUGUAAAAGUCCCCUGUGGGAGCUGGCUCAUGCCAGGUGCGUACCCUGUCACAACAGUGAACUUAGCUGUUUUCUCUCCUGAUGGACAAUGCCAAGCCUGGAUAGAAACCCCGUGCGCAAAUGUACAAUGAGAAGGUGGAGGACUGCUGGAAAAGGAGGAGCAACAGUUCUGCCUUGAGGCCUGCAGCUGGAUAUCCCUCGGUGGAGGAUGUAACGCGCAGCACGCGAGUUGCCACAGAUUUCGCCCUUGUGCUGCGUCAGGCUCAGUGGGUAACUUACCCCCAGAACCAUUGCAUCUGUGUCACCCGCACUGACAGCGUUUCUUCCGGGACUUGUCCUUCAUCUUGUUACUGA